GAUGAACGCUGGCGGCGUGCCUAAUACAUGCAAGUCGAGCGAACGGACGAGAAGCUUGCUUCUCUGAUGUUAGCGGCGGACGGGUGAGUAACACGUGGAUAACCUACCUAUAAGACUGGGAUAACUUCGGGAAACCGGAGCUAAUACCGGAUAAUAUUUUGAACCGCAUGGUUCAAAAGUGAAAGACGGUCUUGCUGUCACUUAUAGAUGGAUCCGCGCUGCAUUAGCUAGUUGGUAAGGUAACGGCUUACCAAGGCAACGAUGCAUAGCCGACCUGAGAGGGUGAUCGGCCACACUGGAACUGAGACACGGUCCAGACUCCUACGGGAGGCAGCAGUAGGGAAUCUUCCGCAAUGGGCGAAAGCCUGACGGAGCAACGCCGCGUGAGUGAUGAAGGUCUUCGGAUCGUAAAACUCUGUUAUUAGGGAAGAACAUAUGUGUAAGUAACUGUGCACAUCUUGACGGUACCUAAUCAGAAAGCCACGGCUAACUACGUGCCAGCAGCCGCGGUAAUACGUAGGUGGCAAGCGUUAUCCGGAAUUAUUGGGCGUAAAGCGCGCGUAGGCGGUUUUUUGAGUCUGAUGUGAAAGCCCACGGCUCAACCGUGGAGGGUCAUUGGAAACUGGAAAACUUGAGUGCAGAAGAGGAAAGUGGAAUUCCAUGUGUAGCGGUGAAAUGCGCAGAGAUAUGGAGGAACACCAGUGGCGAAGGCGACUUUCUGGUCUGUAACUGACGCUGAUGUGCGAAAGCGUGGGGAUCAAACAGGAUUAGAUACCCUGGUAGUCCACGCCGUAAACGAUGAGUGCUAAGUGUUAGGGGGUUUCCGCCCCUUAGUGCUGCAGCUAACGCAUUAAGCACUCCGCCUGGGGAGUACGACCGCAAGGUUGAAACUCAAAGGAAUUGACGGGGACCCGCACAAGCGGUGGAGCAUGUGGUUUAAUUCGAAGCAACGCGAAGAACCUUACCAAAUCUUGACAUCCUUUGACAACUCUAGAGAUAGAGCUUUCCCCUUCGGGGGACAAAGUGACAGGUGGUGCAUGGUUGUUGUCAGCUCGUGUCGUGAGAUGUUGGGUUAAGUCCCGCAACGAGCGCAACCCUUAAGCUUAGUUGCCAUCAUUAAGUUGGGCACUCUAAGUUGACUGCCGGUGACAAACCGGAGGAAGGUGGGGAUGACGUCAAAUCAUCAUGCCCCUUAUGAUUUGGGCUACACACGUGCUACAAUGGACAAUACAAAGGGCAGCGAAACCGCGAGGUCAAGCAAAUCCCAUAAAGUUGUUCUCAGUUCGGAUUGUAGUCUGCAACUCGACUACAUGAAGCUGGAAUCGCUAGUAAUCGUAGAUCAGCAUGCUACGGUGAAUACGUUCCCGGGUCU
This 1372-nucleotide ribosomal RNA is filed under the name uncultured bacterium. RNAcentral's name for it is "bacterial SSU rRNA". It matches the Rfam family "Bacterial small subunit ribosomal RNA", at positions 28 to 1381 of the family's 1533-position model. The record is from RNAcentral.